UAGUGACAAGAAAUAACAAUACAGGGUCAAACGAUUCUGUAAUUGGAAUGAACUAAGCUUAAAACCCUUUAUGAGUAACAAUUGGAGGGCAAGUCUGGUGCCAGCAGCCGCGGUAAUUCCAGCUCCAAUAGCGUAUAUUAAAGUUGUUGCAGUUAAAAAGCUCGUAGUUGGAUUUCGGUUGAUAUAAUAUUUGCUCCUCAGGAGUAUUUAUUAUUAUUAAUCUUACCUCCCAUGCAUCCGCGUGGGGGAUUUUACUUUGAGAAAAUUAGAGUGCUUAAAGCAGG
RNAcentral lists this ribosomal RNA (284 nucleotides) under Cryptosporidium sp. piscine genotype 8. Its description in RNAcentral is "partial 18S ribosomal RNA". It matches the Rfam family "Eukaryotic small subunit ribosomal RNA", at positions 465 to 784 of the family's 1831-position model. The record is from RNAcentral. Lineage: Eukaryota; Apicomplexa; Conoidasida; Eucoccidiorida; Cryptosporidiidae.